UCAGACGAUGCGUCAUGCAUAUCAAUAAGCGGAGGAAAAGAAACUAACAAGGAUUCCCCUAGUAACGGCGAGUGAAGCGGGAAGAGCUCAAAUUUGAAAUCUUAAAGGGUUUCCCUUUACGAAUUGUAGUUUAAAGAAGUGUUUUCUGUUGAGGUUUUGGUAAAAGUUCUUUGGAAUAGGACAUCAUAGAGGGUGAGAAUCCCGUAUUUGACCUUUACUUUCAACUUUGUGAUACACUUUCAAAGAGUCGGAUUGUUUGGGAAUGCAGUCCAAAAUGGGUGGUAAAUUUCAUCUAAAGCUAAAUAUUGGCGAGAGACCGAUAGCGAACAAGUACCGUGAGGGAAAGAUGAAAAGAACUUUGAAAAGAGAGUUAAACAGUACGUGAAAUUGUCAAAAGGGAAGCGUUUGACACCAGUGUUGUUUUUCUGAAAAUCAAUUAAAGAACUGUUUAUGCUAAGCUUGUUUAGACUUUAUCAGCUAUCUGUUUAGUUUUGAGCUUUUCUUUAAUGCACUUUUCAGUUAACAAGUCAACAUCAAUUUCUUUUGCUGUAAAAAAGCUUGAGGAAGGUGGCUUGAGAUUCGUCUUAAGUGUUCAUAGCCUCUUGCCUAUGCAGUCGGAGAGAUUGAGGUCUGCAGCGUAGAUCCUUCGGGGCUAAAUGCAUUUGUGCUAAGUUAUAGCAUUUUAUAGACAACUUGUUGACUAUGAUUUGUCUUGUAGCUUACUCGCUUAUGUUAUUUUACCUACGCUUAGGAUGUUGACACACGCGCGUGCUCG
RNAcentral lists this ribosomal RNA (775 nucleotides) under uncultured Neocallimastigales. Its description in RNAcentral is "partial large subunit ribosomal RNA". It matches the Rfam family "Eukaryotic large subunit ribosomal RNA", at positions 18 to 643 of the family's 3401-position model. The record is from RNAcentral. Lineage: Eukaryota; Fungi; Neocallimastigomycota; Neocallimastigomycetes; Neocallimastigales.